Molecule: ribosomal RNA, 892 nt
Filed under: uncultured bacterium
Lineage: Bacteria
Description: bacterial SSU rRNA
Rfam family: Bacterial small subunit ribosomal RNA
Source: RNAcentral
AGAGUUUGAUCCUGGCUCAGAACGAACGCUGGCGGCGUACUUAACACAUGCAAGUCGGACGAGAAAGGAGACUUCGGUCUCUGAGUACAGUGGCGCACGGGUGCGUAACACGUAAGUAAUCUACCCCGAACUCUGGGAUAACCCUCCGAAAGGAGGGCUAAUACUGGAUAGGGUCCCCGAGGUGUAGGCUGCGGGGGGAAAACGGGCCUCUGUUUCAUGCUCGUGGUUGGGGAUGAGCUUGCGGCCCAUUAGCUUGUUGGCAGGGUAACGGCCUACCAAGGCUACGAUGGGUAGCUGGUCUGAGAGGAUGAUCAGCCGCACUGGCACUGAGACACGGGCCAGACUCCUACGGGAGGCAGCAGUGGGGAAUUUUGCGCAAUGGGCGAAAGCCUGACGCAGUAACGCCGCGUGGAGGAUGAAGGCCUUCGGGUUGUAAACUCCUGUCAGGGGGAACGACGGAGCGAGGAGGAUAAAUCCUUGCUUCCAGACGGUACCUCCAAAGGAAGCCCCGGCUAAUUCCGUGCCAGCAGCCGCGGUAAUACGGAAGGGGCAAGCGUUGUUCGGAAUCAUUGGGCGUAAAGGGCGCGUAGGUGGUUCUGUAUGUCUAUCGUGAAAGCGUACGGCUCAACCGUAUUUUGUCGGUAGAAACUGCAGGACUUGAGGCUGGGAGGGGCUGGUGGAAUUCCCUGUGUAGCGGUGAAAUGCGUAGAGAUGGGGGAGAACACUCGUGGCGAAAGCGGCCAGCUAGACCAGUUCUGACACUGAGGCGCGACGGCGUGGGGAGCAAACAGGAUUAGAUACCCUGGUAGUCCACGCUGUAAACGAUGGGCACUAGGUGCCGGCGGUCUUGAUCCCGUCGGUGCCGGCGCUAACGCAGUAAGUGCCCGGCCUG